Molecule: transfer RNA, 91 nt
Filed under: Burkholderia cenocepacia
Lineage: Bacteria; Pseudomonadati; Pseudomonadota; Betaproteobacteria; Burkholderiales; Burkholderiaceae
Description: tRNA-Glu
Source: RNAcentral
UGGCGCGGUAGCCGAGCGUUUUCGCCGCCGCGUCGUUUUCGUCGACGGGCGGUGCGGCGGCGAAUGCGCGCGUGCCGGCCGCGAGCGCGGC